AGGACGAACGCUGGCGGCGUGCUUAACACAUGCAAGUCGAGCGGAAAGGCCCUUCGGGGUACUCGAGCGGCGAACGGGUGAGUAACACGUGAGCAACCUGCCCUUAGCUUCGGGAUAGCUCCGGGAAACCGGAAUUAAUACCGGAUAUGACUAUGGCCGACAUCAGCCAUGGUGGAAAGUUUUUCGGCUAGGGAUGGACUCGCGGCCUAUCAGCUAGUUGGUGAGGUAACGGCUCACCAAGGCGACGACGGGUAGCCGGCCUGAGAGGGCGACCGGCCACACUGGGACUGAGACACGGCCCAGACUCCUACGGGAGGCAGCAGUGGGGAAUAUUGCGCAAUGGGCGAAAGCCUGACGCAGCGACGCCGCGUGGGGGAUGAAUGCCUUCGGUUGUAAACCCUUUCAGCAGGACGAGCGAAGUGACGGUACUGCAGAGAGCGCGCUACUACGUGCCAGCAGCCGC
Molecule: ribosomal RNA, 463 nt
Filed under: uncultured bacterium
Lineage: Bacteria
Description: SSU rRNA
Rfam family: Bacterial small subunit ribosomal RNA
Source: RNAcentral